GUACCGUAAACCGACACAGGUAGUCGAGGAGAGUAUCCUCAGGCGCUCGAGUGAUCCGUGGCUAAGGAACUAGGCAAAAUGGUCUCGUAACUUCGGGAGAAGAGACGCCCUGCGCAAGCAGGGCCGCAGUGAAGAGGCCCAGGCGACUGUUUAGCAAAAACACAGGACUCUGCGAAAUCGAGAGAUGAAGUAUAGGGUCUGACACCUGCCCGGUGCUGGAAGGUUAAGGAAGGGGCUUAGUGCGCAAGUGCGAAGGUCUUAACUGAAGCCCCAGUAAACGGCGGCCGUAACAAUAACGGUCCUAAGGUAGCGAAAUUCCUUGUCGGGUAAGUUCCGACCUGCACGAAUGGUGUAACGAUCUGGGCACUGUCUCAGCCACGAGCUCGGUGAAAUUGAAGUAUCGGUGAAGAUGCCGAUUACCCGCAACGGGACGGAAAGACCCCGUGAACCUUUACUAUAGCUUCACAUUGAGCUUGGAUGCAAGAUGUGUAGGAUAGGUGGGAGACUAUGAGCUGUACACGCUAGUGUAUGGGGAGUCGUUGUUGAAAUACCACCCUUCUUGCCUUUAGGUUCUAAUCCCUAUACUAGGGAGACAGUGUGUGGUGGGUAGUUUGACUGGGGUGGUCGCCUCCAAAAGAGUAACGGAGGCUUGCAAAGGUACCCUCAGCAUGGUCGGUAAUCAUGCGCAGAGCGUAUUAGUAUAAGGGUGCUUGACUGAGGGACAGACAAGUCGAACAGGCACGAAAGUGGGCUAAAGUGAUCCGGUGUUUCCGCAUGGAAGGGACAUCGCUCAAAGGAUAAAAGGUACUCCGGGGAUAACAGGCUGAUCCUACCCAAGAGCUCAUAUCGACGGUAGGGUUUGGCACCUCGAUGUCGGCUCGUCACAUCCUGGGGCUGGAGAAGGUCCCAAGGGUUGGGCUGUUCGCCCAUUAAAGUGGCACGCGAGCUGGGUACAGAACGUCGCAAGACAGUUCGGUCCCUAUCUGUUGUGGGCGCAGGAAUAUUGAGGGGAGCUGACUCUAGUACGAGAGGACCGAGUUGGACGUACCUCUAGUGUACCGGUUGUGGCGCCAGCUGCAUCGCCGGGUAGCUAUGCACGGCAUGGAUAAGCGCUGAAAGCAUCUAAGCGCGAAGCCAUCCCCAAGAUGAGUAUUCCAUCACGCGAGUGAAAAGGGUCCCCGUAGACGACGGGGUUGAUAGGCUAUAGGUCGAAGUGCAGUAAUGUGCGUAGCCGAGUAGUACUAAUUGCCCGAAAGCUUCCUC
This 1263-nucleotide ribosomal RNA is filed under the name metagenome. RNAcentral describes it as "bacterial LSU rRNA". It matches the Rfam family "Bacterial large subunit ribosomal RNA", at positions 1644 to 2925 of the family's 2925-position model. The record is from RNAcentral.